This 106-nucleotide small nucleolar RNA is filed under the name Helianthus annuus (common sunflower). Its description in RNAcentral is "Plant small nucleolar RNA R71". It matches the Rfam family "Plant small nucleolar RNA R71". From Rfam's summary of the family: R71 is a member of the C/D box family of snoRNAs containing the C (UGAUGA) and D (CUGA) box motifs. Multiple nearly identical copies of this snoRNA have been identified in Arabidopsis, and it is thought to function as a 2'-O-ribose methylation guide for 18S ribosomal RNA. Lineage: Eukaryota; Viridiplantae; Streptophyta; Magnoliopsida; Asterales; Asteraceae. The record is from RNAcentral.
ACACCAUGAUGUGGGCAGUUCUUCAACAACAUUUUAAACCUAUUGAAUGCUUCAUGAAAUAACUCAUGAGAUUGUUGUUGAAAGUUUCUAAUGUCUCUCCUGGCAU